UCCCUCGUUGCCCAGUGGUUAAGGCUCUGCACUUCCACUGCAGGGGGCAUGGGUUCAAGCCCUGGUCAGGGAG
Molecule: transfer RNA, 73 nt
Filed under: Bos taurus (domestic cattle)
Lineage: Eukaryota; Metazoa; Chordata; Mammalia; Artiodactyla; Bovidae
Also listed under: 2 other names
Rfam family: tRNA
About the family: Transfer RNA (tRNA) molecules are approximately 80 nucleotides in length. Their secondary structure includes four short double-helical elements and three loops (D, anti-codon, and T loops).
Source: Rfam by way of RNAcentral